RNAcentral lists this ribosomal RNA (1195 nucleotides) under uncultured bacterium. RNAcentral describes it as "bacterial SSU rRNA". It matches the Rfam family "Bacterial small subunit ribosomal RNA", at positions 102 to 1315 of the family's 1533-position model. The record is from RNAcentral.
ACGGGUGAGUAAUAUAUAGUUAACGUGCCUCUUAGUCUGGGAUAGCCACUGGAAACGGUGAUUAAUACUGGAUAUUCCUUCUAAUUUAAUGUUAGAAGGGAAAGGUUUUUCGCUAAGAGAUCGGACUAUAUUGUAUCAGCUAGUUGGGGAGGUAAUGGCUCACCAAGGCGAUGACACAUAGCGGGUUUGAGAGGAUGAUCCGCCACACUGGUACUGAGACACGGACCAGACUCCUACGGGAGGCAGCAGUGAGGAAUAUUGCACAAUGGGGGAAACCCUGAUGCAGCAACGCCGCGUGGAGGAUGACGCAUUUCGGUGUGUAAACUCCUUUUAUAAGAGAAGAAAAUGACGGUAUCUUAUGAAUAAGUCCCGGCUAACUCCGUGCCAGCAGCCGCGGUAAUACGGAGGGGACAAGCGUUAUUCGGAAUCACUGGGCGUAAAGGACGCGUAGGCGGGUUAUUAAGUCAGGUGUGAAAUCCAAUGGCUCAACCAUUGAACUGCAUUCGAAACUGGUAACCUAGAGUAUGGAAGGGGCAGGUGGAAUUAGUGGUGUACGGGUUAAAUCCGUAGAUCUCACUACGAAUACCGAAAGCGAAGGCGACCUGCUGGGACAUUACUGACGCUGAAGGCCUGAAAGCGUGGGGAGCACACAGGAUUAGAUACCCUGGUAGUCCACGCCCUAAACGAUGAAUGCUAGUUCGUCGGGGAGCUCGUCUCUUCGGUGAUGCACUUAACAGAUUAAGCAUUCCGCCUGGGGAGUACGGUCGCAAGAUUAAAACUCAAAGGAAUAGACGGGGACCCGCACAAGUGNUGGAGCAUGUGGUUUAAUUCGAAGAUACGCGAAGAACCUUACCUAGCCUUGACAUUGAUUGAAUCUUUCAGAGAUGAGAGAGUGCCUUUCGGGGAACAUGAAAACAGGUGCUGCACGGCUGUCGUCAGCUCGUGUCGUGAGAUGUUGGGUUAAGUCCCGCAACGAGCGCAACCCUCGUCGUUAGUUGCUAACAGGUUAAGCUGAGCACUCUAGCGAGACUGCCUUCGCAAGGAGGAGGAAGGUGAGGACGACGUCAAGUCAUCAUGGCCCUUAUGGCUAGGGCUACACACGUGCUACAAUGGGGCGUACAGAGAGUUGCGAUACCGCGAGGUGGAGCCAAUCUCAUAAAGCGUCUCUCAGUUCGGAUUGUUCUCUGCAACUCGA